Molecule: ribosomal RNA, 468 nt
Filed under: uncultured bacterium
Lineage: Bacteria
Description: partial 16S ribosomal RNA
Rfam family: Bacterial small subunit ribosomal RNA
Source: RNAcentral
GACGAACGCUGGCGGCGUGCUUAACACAUGCAAGUCGAACGGAAAGUCCCUGCUUUUGUGGGGGGCUCGAGUGGCGAACGGGUGAGUAACACGUGAGUAACCUGCCCUGUACUUUGGGAUAACUUCAGGAAACUGGGGCUAAUACCGGAUAGGAGCUCCUGCUGCAUGGUGGGGGUUGGAAAGUUUCGGCGGUUGGGGAUGGACUCGCGGCUUAUCAGCUUGUUGGUGGGGUAGUGGCUUACCAAGGCUUUGACGGGUAGCCGGCCUGAGAGGGUGACCGGCCACAUUGGGACUGAGAUACGGCCCAGACUCCUACGGGAGGCAGCAGUGGGGAAUAUUGCACAAUGGGCGGAAGCCUGAUGCAGCAACGCCGCGUGCGGGAUGACGGCCUUCGGGUUGUAAACCGCUUUCGCCUGUGACGAAGCGUGAGUGACGGUAAUGGGUAAAGAAGCACCGGCUAACUACGUG